RNAcentral lists this ribosomal RNA (1346 nucleotides) under uncultured bacterium. Its description in RNAcentral is "partial 16S ribosomal RNA". It matches the Rfam family "Bacterial small subunit ribosomal RNA", at positions 28 to 1381 of the family's 1533-position model. The record is from RNAcentral.
GACGAACGCUGGCGGCGUGCUUAACACAUGCAAGUCGAACGGAAAGGCCCUGCUUUUGUGGGGUGCUCGAGUGGCGAACGGGUGAGUAACACGUGAGUAACCUGCCCUUGACUUUGGGAUAACUUCAGGAAACUGGGGCUAAUACCGGAUAGGAGCUCCUGCUGCAUGGUGGGGGUUGAAAAGUUUCGGCGGUUGGGGAUGGACUCGCGGCUUAUCAGCUUGUUGGUGGGGUAGUGGCUUACCAAGGCUUUGACGGGUAGCCGGCCUGAGAGGGUGACCGGCCACAUUGGGACUGAGAUACGGCCCAGACUCCUACGGGAGGCAGCAGUGGGGAAUAUUGCACAAUGGGCGGAAGCCUGAUGCAGCAACGCCGCGUGCGGGAUGACGGCCUUCGGGUUGUAAACCGCUUUCGCCUGUGACGAAGCGUGAGUGACGGUAAUGGGUAAAGAAGCACCGGCUAACUACGUGCCAGCAGUCGCGGUGAUACGUAGGGUGCGAGCGUUGUCCGGAUUUAUUGGGCGUAAAGGGCUCGUAGGUGGUUGAUCGCGUCGGAAGUGUAAUCUUGGGGCUUAACCCUGAGCGUGCUUUCGAUACGGGUUGACUUGAGGAAGGUAGGGGAGAAUGGAAUUCCUGGUGGAGCGGUGGAAUGCGCAGAUAUCAGGAGGAACACCAGUGGCGAAGGCGGUUCUCUGGGCCUUUCCUGACGCUGAGGAGCGAAAGCGUGGGGAGCGAACAGGCUUAGAUACCCUGGUAGUCCACGCUGUAAACGGUGGGUACUAGGUGUGGGGUCCAUUCCACGGGUUCCGUGCCGUAGCUAACGCUUUAAGUACCCCGCCUGGGGAGUACGGCCGCAAGGCUAAAACUCAAAGGAAUUGACGGGGCCCCGCACAAGCGGCGGAGCAUGCGGAUUAAUUCGAUGCAACGCGUAGAACCUUACCUGGGUUUGACAUGGAUCGGGAGUGCUCAGAGAUGGGUGUGCCUCUUUUGGGGUCGGUUCACAGGUGGUGCAUGGCUGUCGUCAGCUCGUGUCGUGAGAUGUUGGGUUAAGUCCCGCAACGAGCGCAACCCUUGUUCACUGUUGCCAGCACGUUAUGGUGGGGACUCAGUGGAGACCGCCGGGGUCAACUCGGAGGAAGGUGGGGAUGACGUCAAGUCAUCAUGCCCCUUAUGUCCAGGGCUUCACGCAUGCUACAAUGGCUGGUACAGAGAGUGGCGAGCCUGUGAGGGUGAGCGAAUCUCGGAAAGCCGGUCUCAGUUCGGAUUGGGGUCUGCAACUCGACCUCAUGAAGUCGGAGUCGCUAGUAAUCGCAGAUCAGCAACGCUGCGGUGAAUACGUUCCCGGGGCU